RNAcentral lists this transfer RNA (72 nucleotides) under Daphnia galeata. It matches the Rfam family "tRNA". From Rfam's summary of the family: Transfer RNA (tRNA) molecules are approximately 80 nucleotides in length. Lineage: Eukaryota; Metazoa; Arthropoda; Branchiopoda; Diplostraca; Daphniidae. The record is from Rfam by way of RNAcentral.
GGGGGCAUAGCUCAGUGGUAGAGCAUCCGACUGCAGAUCGUAUUGUCCCCGGUUAAAACCCGGGUGCCCCCU